RNAcentral lists this long non-coding RNA (2043 nucleotides) under Vigna radiata. Its description in RNAcentral is "long non-coding RNA (VRAD_LNC001410)". The record is from RNAcentral. Lineage: Eukaryota; Viridiplantae; Streptophyta; Magnoliopsida; Fabales; Fabaceae.
AUUCAAUUUGUUUUCCUCUUUUCAAAUUGCAAAAACUUAACAUAACAUAACAUGUGAUAGCAGUAGUAGCAGUAGUCCCACCACUGAUGAAUAGAGAGAAUUGCAUUGAUACACAGAACAUGAUCUAAUCAUGCAAAAGACUAACCUAAUCAACCAGAAGGUACAUAAUAACAACACAAGGUGAAAAAACCCUUCCUAAUUAUUACUUUCAGUGUGUGUGGGUGGGAGAGAGAGAAUAGAAUUAAACUUGUUCUAAUUUGAGGCAAGGAAAAAUCGAAUAUGAUCGAGAAAGGUCAAAUUUUGAGGCCGAUCCUUGCGUUUCACAUAACCAAUCGUCUCUUUCUGCGAAUAACAUCUCAGCCCUCGCUUCCCGUUCUUCUUCCACAUCUCCAUCGCGUAAUUCCUGUGUGCAUAAUACGCCUCCGCGCAUGUUACCCCCACCACCGUCUCCCCCUCCGCCUCCUUCCCCUCCUCCUCCUCGCCCUCCCCCGCCGGAACCACCUUUAUUGGGAGACGCUCGUAGUGGGCGCGUGAUGUCCCCUCCAGUUCGUCCAUCCGAACGAGGCCGCGCGUGGAGACAGAGUAGAGCUCCCCGUGGACCCAACAACCCGACCCGGGAAUGUUGAGGAGGAAAGGGACCCGGUAUGGCCCGCAUACAAGAGGGUAUUUUCCGGCGGUGCGAUAGGUUCCGACGAAGGAAGCGUCGCCGGCGCGGAUGAGAUCUUGAAGAAGCGGGUGAUUGGAGAAUCCUCUCUUGAGGGUUCCGUAGGUGAAUAUUAACGUUCUCUCUCCGUCGCCGUUACCGUUAACCUCUCUUUCUCUUUCGGCCACCAUAUUUUCAGGAUAUGAAUUUGAUUGAGCCCGGAAGAGGAACAGAAGAUUGAAUGGUAAGCAUGAAAGAUUCACAACUUCCCUUUUUUAUAGUCCCAUUUUUUUUUUCUUUUUUAAUAUUCCUUUUUCCUUAAUUUUUUUGUGCCUUUAAAUUUCAUAAAAAUCAAUUAAGCCAAACUUAUUAGCACUUAAUUAAGAUUAAAAAAAAUUCUUGAUGCUUAAAUAAAUGGUUAUUCGGCUUUGAUAUCAUGGAAAGUGAAAAAAAAAUCAUCAACAUUUAAAUACGAUCAUGAUAAAAUUUUUUAAAAAUAAGUCACGUGUUAUUAUUUUAUUUACUCACUUAAAUUUAUUUAAAAAAAUAUUUAAAAUAAACCAAUCAUUAAUGUCUGUAGGUAUCUCCAAUUAAAUGUGCUCUCACAUGCGUUUAAUUAUAGUAUCUUGUUUAAUAAAAAAUACAGAGUUUUAAAAAUAGUACUUAAUAUUAGAACCUAAUAAAGUACAUAUUUUUUAAUCAUUCUUUGAAACUGUUCUGUCAUUUAAUGUCAAAAUAAAAUAAUUUAAUCUAACCAAAGUUUAGCAGACUCGGGGUUGAUACGUUUUAUAAUAAUUAAAAGCACACAAAAUGAAUUUAAAAUGUAUAAUUAUAAUACUAUAUCUAAAACAAAGUAUAAAUUUAUAAGCUUUUAAUAUUUAACAAAACAACAGGAAUCUACAAUUCAUUAAAUUAAUCUCUCUGAUAUUUCAGUUUUCAGUGAGAAUUAAUAUUUCUUAUUCCUAUAAAUAAAUAACUGAUAUUACUCGAUUUAAACGAAAUAAAGGAACAUCUAUUAAAUUUCAAAAUACUAAUUUACUAAUAAAAUAUUACUAACUUUUCAUUUAUUAUAUUACAUAUUAUUAUUUUUUUUAAAACUAAUUCAUUACAAAUAUAUUAUUCAUUUUAUAUAGAUACUUUUUUAAAAUUAUUUAAAAAGAAAAACCAAGAGUUGGAAUUGGGUUCGCCCUAUUCAGACACUUUUGUCAAAACAGGUUUAUUUGGAUAAGUAAAUUGGUUUUUUGAAUUUCGUUUUGAGAAAUAGGUUUUGUUUGGAAGGAUGAGUAUUAAUUAACGAGUAUUAAGCUCUAUGAUUGCAGUAAUCCAACUGAACCGGUGAGAUGCAUGAACCAACUAGAAGGAAUCACAUGAUUAGAAUCGUUUUUUCUUUUCAAGAAUCG